This is a long non-coding RNA of Gambusia affinis (western mosquitofish), 1257 nucleotides long. RefSeq lists it as uncharacterized. NCBI's taxonomy places the organism in Eukaryota, Metazoa, Chordata, Actinopteri, Cyprinodontiformes, Poeciliidae. The record is from RefSeq and is a predicted model, not a curated record. The transcript is spliced from 5 exons.
AAAACUUACCUUCAAUCAACCAGUGUGGCGCGAGGAAAGGCAGACCUCAAAUCAAGCAGGGAGGUCUAAUGAAAGACUUACCUUCAAUCAACCAGUGUGGCGCGAGGAAAGGCAGACCUCAAAUCAAGCAGGGAGGUCCGAAGAAAGACGGACCUCCAAUCCACCUGGGAGGUCUGAGAAAAGAUGGACCUCCAAUCCACCAGGGAGGUCCAUCCGACCAACCUCUACUGGUUGCAUGGAGGGCGUUCAUGUUGGCCUUGGCCUGAAGGACAAUCUAGGCCAGGCUCGGCCUUUACGCCAACCCACACCCAGGUGGUACUAACCUAGUGUCUCAUCUUUGAAUAGGAUAAUGUUCAAGAUGUAAUGGUAGCAGUUAAGGAGAGUUCUCGUGAUCCUGAUUUUCAGCCGAUGUGCAUCUUUCAGGUUCCUUCUUUCCUCAGGUUUGAGAAAAGAAGGAACCUACGACUGCAUCUCUGCAAUUGUCACUGACCUGGAUCUCUAAAUGACAUUUUGUGAUUGUGUGACCUCGGGAGGAGAACCAGAGUUCAGGUAAUUGGUCCACUAGGUGGAUCUCAGGAAGGCUCUGACUGAGCUUGGAGGGAGGCUUAGGAAAAAAGCCUCAUCAGGAAAUUGCCAGAUUGACAGACACAUCAACUGUACAGGAGUUGGAUCCACCGAUUUGCUCUGACUCUCUCCCCUGUCUGACUCUUCAAUCUACUAAUAGCAAAACUUUCCAUCAAUGACUGAGAACCACUUGGGUCCAUUUAAGGAGAAGAAGGCGGUGAAGAGGACUCUUGACUAACUCCAGAUUGCUCUAACUCUUGCAGCUGCUUAAGGAAGGCAUAACCUCCCUAUCAUUAGGAUGGAUAGGCCUUGCCCUGUUUUGUCAUGAAAAUGCAUAAUCUGGUGUUUUACUUUAUUAGCCCUGCCAAAGUCAAGGUCACUGUGUGCAAAGACCUCAGGAAUACUGUGGAACCUCUGCCCUACUCUCUUUUCAUCAAUUAGGAAGCUGCUGAAGCUGAAGCUCAAGUUAGUCUCCAGAUUAGUGCUGAAUUUCUGUGUAUUCAAGUUGUUCCUGUGAAAAGACUCUCCGAAAUGCAUCGAUCUUCCCAAAGACAUUUCUAGGGAAAGCUGGCACAUACAAUUUCAUUGGUUAAUACCACUGGGAUCUGAUAAGGUGCCGUAGCAGUAAAUGUUAUGGAAAUGUUCUAUUCCAGAUGAAGACACUGAAUCAAUAAAGUGACAGACAAAUUUGCA